CCUACGGGAGGCUGCAGUGAGGAAUAUUGGUCAAUGGGCGGAAGCCUGAACCAGCCAAGUAGCGUGCGGGAUGAAGGCCCUACGGGUCGUAAACUGCUUUUGCACGGGGAUAACACCCUCCACUUGUGGAGGUCUGCAGGUACCGUGCGAAUAAGGGCCGGCUAAUUCCGUGCCAGCAGCCGCGGUAAUACGGAAGGUCCGAGCGUUAUCCGGAUUCAUUGGGCUUAAAGGGUGCGUAGGCGGGCGUUCAAGUCAGCUGUAAAAGCGCGCGGCUCAACCGCGCCCCGCAGUUGAAACUGGACGCCUUGAGUUCACAACAGGCAGGCGGAAGUCGUGGUGUAGCGGUGAAAUGCAUAGAUAUCACGAGGAACCCCGAUUGCGAAGGCAGCCUGCCGGGGUGCGACUGACGCUGAGGCUCGAAGGUGCGGGUAGCAAACAGGAUUAGAUACCCGUGUAGUC
RNAcentral lists this ribosomal RNA (459 nucleotides) under uncultured bacterium. Its description in RNAcentral is "partial 16S ribosomal RNA". It matches the Rfam family "Bacterial small subunit ribosomal RNA", at positions 338 to 795 of the family's 1533-position model. The record is from RNAcentral.